Pygocentrus nattereri (red-bellied piranha) is the source of this 760-nucleotide long non-coding RNA. RefSeq lists it as uncharacterized. NCBI's taxonomy places the organism in Eukaryota, Metazoa, Chordata, Actinopteri, Characiformes, Serrasalmidae. The transcript is spliced from 2 exons. The record is from RefSeq and is a predicted model, not a curated record.
UACUGGCAUGGGCUUGAUCGUCUCCUGCUUGACGUGCACAGUAUCAUAUCUGCCCAGGACGCGAUGGAACUGAAGCCUGUUUAGAUCGAUCAUCUCUGGGAUGUACUUGUGCAGCAUUAAUUGUGGAUUUGUCCAUCACUUGCCUGGGGAUACAAACAACAACGACUUAUUUCAGGAAGACACAGACACUUUCCUGCUAAUAUGCCUGGAGUUCAGUCUACGACAAUAGAGCAGAAUACCACAUUACUUUCUCAAGUUCUCCAGACAGAAGAAAGAAAGGAUCAGUACUCAUCAUCCAUGCUUAAACGGGAAGUGCACUCACAUAGACAAACCUCUCUCCCUCUCAUUUUUCGCUUCUUCAUGUAGCUUUACCGGACUUGUCUUUCACUUCGGUACUGCGAGCACUUCUCUUUUCUCUCUUGUCCUACAUGACAAUACUUUAUCAUCUUUUUUUCAGGUGAAAUGCGAAACUGUUUGAUAGGUGCCAGUGACCAGCAGUAUGUCAUUGUUUGCCUGCAGCUGACCUUGCUAAACAGCGGGAAAGUGAAUGAGGAAGACUGAACAAAAAAAGAAACACAGGAACUUAAGCAGUUCUUCUUUCACCACAUGUUAAUUGUUUGGGUUUUUCAUGUGUCUGUCAGUAUUGCUACUGUUAAGGUGAGAAUUUCCCCCAAACCUCAUCAGAUAAUAAAGGAAGUAUCACCUUGAACAGCUCUUUUCUACUUGGUUGAAUGACAUUAAUACUAAAGAUAGUUUUUUU